This 695-nucleotide ribosomal RNA is filed under the name uncultured bacterium. RNAcentral describes it as "bacterial SSU rRNA". It matches the Rfam family "Bacterial small subunit ribosomal RNA", at positions 67 to 749 of the family's 1533-position model. The record is from RNAcentral.
CGGCAGCACAGUAAGAGCUUGCUCUUAUGGGUGGCGAGUGGCGGACGGGUGAGGAAUACAUCGGAAUCUACCUUUUCGUGGGGGAUAACGUAGGGAAACUUACGCUAAUACCGCAUACGACCUUCGGGUGAAAGCAGGGGACCUUCGGGCCUUGCGCGGAUAGAUGAGCCGAUGUCGGAUUAGCUAGUUGGCGGGGUAAAGGCCCACCAAGGCGACGAUCCGUAGCUGGUCUGAGAGGAUGAUCAGCCACACUGGAACUGAGACACGGUCCAGACUCCUACGGGAGGCAGCAGUGGGGAAUAUUGGACAAUGGGCGCAAGCCUGAUCCAGCCAUACCGCGUGGGUGAAGAAGGCCUUCGGGUUGUAAAGCCCUUUUGUUGGGAAAGAAAAGCAGUCGGCUAAUACCCGGUUGUUCUGACGGUACCCAAAGAAUAAGCACCGGCUAACUUCGUGCCAGCAGCCGCGGUAAUACGAAGGGUGCAAGCGUUACUCGGAAUUACUGGGCGUAAAGCGUGCGUAGGUGGUUGUUUAAGUCUGUUGUGAAAGCCCUGGGCUCAACCUGGGAAUUGCAGUGGAUACUGGGCGACUAGAGUGUGGUAGAGGGUAGUGGAAUUCCCGGUGUAGCAGUGAAAUGCGUAGAGAUCGGGAGGAACAUCCAUGGCGAAGGCAGCUACCUGGACCAACACUGACACUGA